UUCUUUAUGAUUUAAUGUAAAGUAAUCCCUGCUCAAUGAUAUAUUAAAUAGCUGCAGAUAUCUGUACUAAGGUAGCAUAAUCAAUUGUCUUAUUAAUUGUGGACUAGGAUGAAGGGGAUAAUUAUUAAAAAUUUUAUUUUAUUUUGUUAUUGAAUUUAGAUUUGCAGUAAGAAUACUGUAAUUUUGCUUAGGGACAAGAAGACCCUAUAAAGCUUGAAUAUUGUUUAUAUUUUUAAAUUAUAAUAGUAUUUUAAUUGGGGCAAUUUUUUAACAAAUAUAAAAUUUAAAGGAAAACUAAAAUAUAAGAUGAGCCAUUAUUAAUGAAAUAUGAAAAAGUUACUUUAGGGAUAACAGCAUAAUUUUUAUUAAGAAGAGCUUAUUUAUAAUAUUGAUUAUGACCUCGAUGUUGGAUUAAUUAAAUUUUUUGGUGAAGGAGCUAAGAAAAUAUGACUGUUCGUCGUUUAAAAAAUUACA
Molecule: ribosomal RNA, 474 nt
Filed under: Parapurcellia fissa
Lineage: Eukaryota; Metazoa; Arthropoda; Arachnida; Opiliones; Pettalidae
Description: partial 16S large subunit ribosomal RNA
Rfam family: Bacterial large subunit ribosomal RNA
Source: RNAcentral